RNAcentral lists this microRNA precursor (69 nucleotides) under Chlorocebus sabaeus (green monkey). Its description in RNAcentral is "miRNA (ENSCSAG00000021938.1)". Lineage: Eukaryota; Metazoa; Chordata; Mammalia; Primates; Cercopithecidae. The record is from RNAcentral.
UGAGUUGAGCUGAGCUUAGCUGAGCUGAGUUGAGCUGAGCUGAGUUGAGCUUAGCUGAGCUGAGUUGAG